AAGAAAUUAGUUAAUUUAUAACAUUAGAUUGUCAAACUAAAGUUACUAAUAUUUUAGUAUUUCUUG
Molecule: transfer RNA, 66 nt
Filed under: Pantala flavescens
Lineage: Eukaryota; Metazoa; Arthropoda; Insecta; Odonata; Libellulidae
Description: tRNA-Asp
Source: RNAcentral